GGACUACAGGGGUAUCUAAUCCCGUUUGCUCCCCUGGCUUUCGCGCCUCAGCGUCAGAAAGGGUCCAGUGCGCCGCUUUCGCCGCCGGCGUUCCUUCUGAUAUCAACGCAUUUCACCGCUCCACCAGAAGUUCCGCGCACCCCUACCCCCCUCCAGCCGUCCGGUAUCGGAGGCACUUCCACGGUUGAGCCGUGGGAUUUCACCCCCGACCUCGACGGCCGCCUACGCGCCCUUUAAGCCCAGUGAUUCCGAACAACGUUCGCACGGUUCGUCUUACCGCGGCUGCUGGCAC
RNAcentral lists this ribosomal RNA (292 nucleotides) under uncultured Planctomycetota bacterium. Its description in RNAcentral is "uncultured planctomycete partial 16S ribosomal RNA". Lineage: Bacteria; Pseudomonadati; Planctomycetota. The record is from RNAcentral.